UAGUAAAGGUCUCCUUCCUUGUGAGUAUGGAUGACGCAGUCGGACUUAGGGUAGGAGACACAUGUCAGCACAUAGCCUUCUUCCUGCUGCGCAUCAUCAAGGAAUGAUCCAUCCGACUGGUCGACGGAGCCAGCCUCGAUCUUACCGGCACAGGUAGAGCAUGCUCCAGCACGGCAUGAGUAGGGAAGCUCUACUCCAGCGGUCUCGGCGGCAUCAAGGAUGUAGGUGUCAUCCGGAGCCUCGAACUCGUGCUCUUGCCCUUCUGGUGUGAUGAGCUUAACCUUGUAGGUAGCCAUUGCCGAGACGUCAAGCUUCUUGGAGGAGGCCUUCAGGCUUGGAAACUGCAUGCCUUGGCUGAAGAAGCUUAGAGAUGCCGGGCUCUUGACCGCCGCCACCUUGGAGGCCUGAGUUCUAGCAUUGCUCAAGGACACACAUGAAGUUGCAAGUGUGCACGUCGCCAUCUUGAAACCUAGAAUUGUUCAAA
RNAcentral lists this small RNA (484 nucleotides) under Oryza sativa Japonica Group (Japanese rice). RNAcentral describes it as "sRNA Os03g0835950". Lineage: Eukaryota; Viridiplantae; Streptophyta; Magnoliopsida; Poales; Poaceae. The record is from RNAcentral.